GGCCUUUCCUGGCCCAGCGAGGCCCGCUCCCCAGCACCCCACCCCGGGAUGCCCUGUUGCCUUGGAGACCACAGUCUUCCACCUCGUUGUCUGAAGGAAUGGUUGCCUCUGAGGCUGUCACAGGGAAUUCUAAAUCUACAGCUCUCCGAUUAAAAGGAAAAUAAGAACACGGGAAAAAGAGAUGUUAAAGAUGUGUCAGCGCCUACCUGAGGGUUGACACACUAAGGCAGAGUCUGUAGAUUCAUUUUAGGAACAGAUUGUUCUGUGAUUGUGUGCAGAGACUGGCACAUGUUUUCCCUGUGUCUAUAAUAUACUAACAACUCAAUAAAAGUUGGCUGUUAUCUUCUUGUUUA
Long non-coding RNA from Carlito syrichta (Philippine tarsier), 353 nucleotides. RefSeq lists it as uncharacterized. NCBI's taxonomy places the organism in Eukaryota, Metazoa, Chordata, Mammalia, Primates, Tarsiidae. The record is from RefSeq and is a predicted model, not a curated record. The transcript has 2 exons.